AAACUGCCCUUAUAGAGUUUUUACUUCCUAUCUCCCUAAGUUUCCCAUAAUUUCUCCUUUAAAAUCCUACCAUUUCCUAUCUAUCCCCCUACUACUAUCUUCUAAUUCUCUCCCCCUUUUUGUCAUCAUCAACCUUUAAUCUUCUUCAUAUGAGGAGGUUGAGGAGGAGGAUUCUUUAGUGGCGUAUUUGAAAUCUAAAGGUUGAGGAGAUGAUUCUGGAGGUAAUUCUUGGGUAAAGGGAUCAGGUAAGGGUGUGUCAGACACUUCAAGCGGUUCCUAUGGAGAAGAAGCUGUUGCUGGCUUGGACUUUUUUGCCAAUUUGGAGGACUUCUCUCUUUUGAGGAAUGUUGUUUUUGUUGUCAUUGUUUUCUUCCCUUUGGCAAGUGGUUUUGUCUUUAUCUGUUGUGCUGUAGUGACUUUUUCUUUCCUUUUUUCAAAUUUUUCUUUCACUCUAGAGGCUAGUGCAGAUGUAUCUUGCUGAGCUUCUACCUUGGCAACUUCCUUUUCAACCUAUUCUUCCCUAACCAUUUGGUAGAAGAUAUCCAUAAUGGAUACUUCUUCUGAAUUUGGAGGGGAGGGUCUCAGGUUCUGAAAAAGCAUUUUCAUCUGGUGAACCUAGCACUUUUGUUCCUUGUUUUGAUUUAUCUUUGCUUUGGUGUUCAAGUGAGAGGGCCUUAGCUGGUUGAUCAACACUAGGGUGAGAGUCCUCUGUCUAAAGGACAGGGCGACAGUUUUGUAAGUGGAGCCUUCAGCUUGAACACUUUAACUUACUCCAUAUGAGCAAACACUUUUGCUUGCAAAGCUGAACCCUCAGCAAACACAUGUCUAUACGUUAAGCAAAAAUUCAGAUUUCACACCAAAAUUUUUCAUUUAAUUUCUAGCCUCAUCAAACAUCAAAUAUCACCAAAAUAUCAUAAAAUAUCAUCAAUUUCAGCCAUAAUAUCUGCCCUAGAAAAUUUGGCCAAUGAUGGGUAAUGGGAGAAAAUGAAUUUUUCUUGUUGGUUUGUUUCUAGAUAUGAUAAACUAACUAAAAACACUAACAUAACUUAGAAUCAAAUCAAUCCAACUUCAUUCUCUCUCCAUACCCAUUCCAACCAGCCAUGAAUUCACCAUGAAAACAUGAAAUCUAACCAUAGAAAAUGAAAAAGAAAGCAUGGGUAGUGUAAAUCACAAGUCAAAAUCAAGAAAUUUUACCUUUAUUAGCUUAAUCCCUUGAAAUCCCACACUUUUUCUUCAAUUUUCCCACCUAAGGUUCUUGUUUUUGUUCCUUUCCUCCUUUGUUCUUCUUUGGCCGGCCAUAUGAAUGAGAAAUUGGC
RNAcentral lists this long non-coding RNA (1316 nucleotides) under Theobroma cacao (cacao). RNAcentral's name for it is "long non-coding RNA (TCAC_LNC005551)". Lineage: Eukaryota; Viridiplantae; Streptophyta; Magnoliopsida; Malvales; Malvaceae. The record is from RNAcentral.